UCCCUGGCGGCUGAGCUGGUAAAGAAUCCACCUGCAAUGUGGGAGACCUGGGUUCAAUUCCUGGGUUGGGAA
This 72-nucleotide transfer RNA is filed under the name Ovis aries (sheep). It matches the Rfam family "tRNA". Rfam says of the family: Transfer RNA (tRNA) molecules are approximately 80 nucleotides in length. Their secondary structure includes four short double-helical elements and three loops (D, anti-codon, and T loops). Lineage: Eukaryota; Metazoa; Chordata; Mammalia; Artiodactyla; Bovidae. The record is from Rfam by way of RNAcentral.